UACGUAGGGCGCAAGCGUUGUCCGGAAUUAUUGGGCGUAAAGAGCUCGUAGGCGGUUUGUCGCGUCGGAUGUGAAAGCCCGGGGCUUAACUCCGGGUCUGCAUUCGAUACGGGCAGACUAGAGUGUGGUAGGGGAGAUCGGAAUUCCUGGUGUAGCGGUGAAAUGCGCAGAUAUCAGGAGGAACACCAGUGGCGAAGGCGGAUCUCUGGGCCAUUACUGACGCUGAGGAGCGAAAGCGUGGAGAGCAAACAGG
RNAcentral lists this ribosomal RNA (253 nucleotides) under uncultured bacterium. Its description in RNAcentral is "partial 16S ribosomal RNA". It matches the Rfam family "Bacterial small subunit ribosomal RNA", at positions 524 to 776 of the family's 1533-position model. The record is from RNAcentral.